This 335-nucleotide ribosomal RNA is filed under the name uncultured Bacillota bacterium. Its description in RNAcentral is "bacterial SSU rRNA". It matches the Rfam family "Bacterial small subunit ribosomal RNA", at positions 28 to 351 of the family's 1533-position model. Lineage: Bacteria; Bacillati; Bacillota. The record is from RNAcentral.
GACGAACGCUGGCGGCGUGCCUAAUACAUGCAAGUCGAGCGAAUCUUUAGGAGCUUGCUCCUGAAGAUUAGCGGCGGACGGGUGAGUAACACGUGGGCAACCUGCCUGUAAGACUGGGAUAACUUCGGGGAAACCGGAGCUAAUACCGGAUAAUCCAUUCCCUCUCAUGAGGGAAUGCUGAAAGACGGCGUCACGCUGUCACUUACAGAUGGGCCCGCGGCGCAUUAGCUAGUUGGUGAGGUAACGGCUCACCAAGGCAACGAUGCGUAGCCGACCUGAGAGGGUGAUCGGCCACACUGGGACUGAGACACGGCCCAGACACCUACGGGUGGCAG